GGGGAAAUGGCUCAGUUGGUAUAGUGUUUGCCAUGCAAGCAUGAGGACCUGGGUUUGAAUCCCAGGUACCCA
This 72-nucleotide transfer RNA is filed under the name Cricetulus griseus (Chinese hamster). It matches the Rfam family "tRNA". Rfam says of the family: Transfer RNA (tRNA) molecules are approximately 80 nucleotides in length. Their secondary structure includes four short double-helical elements and three loops (D, anti-codon, and T loops). The record is from Rfam by way of RNAcentral. Lineage: Eukaryota; Metazoa; Chordata; Mammalia; Rodentia; Cricetidae.